Dicentrarchus labrax (European seabass) is the source of this 2543-nucleotide RNA transcript. It is a transcript of the gene named RAP1 GTPase activating protein-like, with no coding region annotated. The record is from RefSeq and is a predicted model, not a curated record. The transcript has 17 exons. NCBI's taxonomy places the organism in Eukaryota, Metazoa, Chordata, Actinopteri, Moronidae.
UACCAAACUAAAGUAAUAAACAGUAAAUAAAGUAAUGGUACAUUAAUGUAGCUAUGAUAAUGAUCUAAUAAUGCCAUAAAAUAAAAUAACAUUCAUGGGAAACUUUCUUCUGCACACGUUCUUUUAUACUUUAAGUACAAGGAGCUUAAUUUUAAUUAACUGGGAUUUUAAAAAGUAUUAUAACUUGUAAUGUGAGUAAAUGAGUAUUUUUACAUUAGUUUUCUUAAGUAAAGCGUCUUUUGGGGCUUCUUGUGUGAGCAUUUUUUCUUUUAUCUUUCACUUAAGUCCAAAAUUUCACUUUGAUCAGUUUGAUAUGGUUUUUUUUUUUCUUUCACCACAAUAUUCAAUAAAGGUACAGUUCAUAGAAAUGAUACUUGUGUGGGACACCAUUUAAAUGUGCACACCUCUCUCUGUUCAUCUCUUUCUUUCAAAUAUCUCUCUUUCUUACUCCGCUUUCUCUCUCUCUCUCUCUCUCUCUCUCUCUCUCUCUCUCUCUCUCUCUCUCUCUCUCUCUCCCUAUCCUGAGGCCUACUUCACCCUCCCCUGCUGUCUCUCUCCUCACCCUCACUGUGUGUGUGCUGUCAAUAAUUGAUGAUCCUCACUGACUCAAAGGGUAACAGGUCCCGGAGAAAAUGUCUCACCCAUUUCUUUAUUUAUAUACAAGUCUGUGUUUAAGUUCAGCCAGUCUGAGAAACCACCACCAGCGUUUAUUCGAGCACGAGAAUCAAUGGGUGUGAAGCCUGACUGUGUCCGUUUUGUAGUUUGUUGCAUCCGCUGCACCUGUGACCAUGAGUGGGUUAAUGCUGCCUGUCUGGGCUGACAGCAGGACAGAGGGAGGAAAGGGAAGCUUAAAUGAGUGAGAGGCAGGGGGCAGAGAGGAGGAGGAGUGACAGAAUGAAAGAGUGAAUUAAUUCAACCUUAGCCAGCCCUGAUUGAGUCGGUAGCAAACUGGCAUGUACAAACAUUCACAGUGACACCAAAGCCAUGGAGAGAGAAAAGAGGAAUGACAUGUCCUUCUCCAGAAAGAGAAGUUUCACUUUUGGCGCAUAUGGAAGUGUGGACAGAUUCACAUGUGGGGAUGAGACGAGACCUGAAUCUGCAGAGGACAACAUACUGGACAUCCUGGACUCUCCUGCCAGUGAGAGCAAGCCUUUCCUCCCUGCCAGCAGCAACCAGAGGGAAACAGAGCUGUUUGAAAUCAUUGAAAAGCUGCAGGGCAGCAGGAUCGAUGAGCAGCGGUGUGAAUUCCCCCUUCCUCUGAAGACUCAGCUUUUGACGAUAGGUGGAGACCUGCCGCUCAUCCUACCUUCAAAGUUGGGGGGCUACUGGAUAGACCCCCCUCUGGAGAGGCUCGUAGAUGUGAGUCCCACCUCUUCCCACUAUGGCCUUGAUCCAGAGAGCUUCGACAUCAUGGAGAGAGACGGAGAGGCCAAAAUCUACCACGAGUUCUUCCGCUCACGAUACCAUCACUCAUUCACAGCAGUGGAUCCAUCUUUGGGGCCUCUGGUUCUCUCUGUGUGUUUGGAGGAAGAGGAGAACAGGCUGCGAGUGAUACUAAGGAUGAAGGAGUGCUCUCUGCAUGGAGUUUUCUCUGUGUCUCUUUUCCCCAACAUCCCAUCCGCUGUUGAGUUAGCCAAGAUGCUCUGUGACAGAGUGACUGUCUCAAAGUUUGAAGUGGUCAGCUACCUCAAGGCCCCAGAACUCAUAACUGCAUUUGAUGAACACAGAGUGUCUCCUAAUUUCAAGUUUGGCAUUUUGUACCAAAAGGACAGGCAGUUCACGGAGGAGGACAUACUCAGUAACAAUGACGAAAGUGAGGAGUUUAAAGAGUUCCUUUCUAUUUUGGGAGAGACGAUUCAACUGCAAGGCUUUACCGGGUUCAGAGGAGGACUGGACGUGUGUCAUGGUCAGACGGGGAGUGAAGCAGUCUUCACUUCCUUUCAUGAGAGAGAAAUCAUGUUCCAUGUUGCAACUAAACUGCCUUUUACAGAGGGUGACCCACAGCAGUUACAAAGAAAAAGACACAUUGGUAAUGACAUUGUAGCUUUGGUCUACCAGGAGGGCCAAACCCCUUUUCUGUCUGAUGUAAUCAAGUCUCACUUCCUGCACUGUUUCCUGGUGGUCCGGAGGGUUCAGAGGGCGGAGGAGACAGGUGAAACUGCGUACCAGGUGUCUGUCACAGCCAGAGAGGAUGUUCCUCCAUUUGGUCCAGUCCUUCCGGAUCCUCCCAUCUUCACAGAGCGUUCCCUGCUGAGAGAAUUCCUUUUGACCAAACUCAUCAAUGCAGAGAUUUCCUGCUAUAAGGCUCAACAGUUCAGCAGACUAGAGAGAGCUUGCAGACUGAACUCUCCACCCGUUCCCAGUGCAUGAUGGGGGAACCUUCGCUGUCUGUGCUCCCAUCUUCUGAAGGUGUACGGGGGGCGUCUGAGGGGAGUGGAGGAUUCAUUGAAAAUUUUAAGAGAGCCAUACGAGUGCGGAGCCACUCUUUCGAGACUCUUGGGGUACCCAGGAAGAGUGGCAGCAGUGCAUCACAGAAACCUAAG